ACUCAAACAAUUAUACUAACCUUCGACCGUAUUAUUAGUUCGUGGAAUAUAAUACUUUGAUAAUGCAUACAAUUUCCAAACAUUUAAAAAAAAUAAAGGAGCUCUUCUUGCUCUGCAGCAGGGUCUUCCGAUCCACGUGUCUUCAAAAUAGUUGAGUAAAUCUAAUAGAUUCUCUUCAUUUUCUCUAUAAAACUCGGAAUCCAACAGAGAUUCAAAUGCUGAAAUUAAAUUAUUUUCGGGUUCAAAAGUUAAGGCUGCUAGUUUUCUUUAUUCGAGUGCAAAAUUUGAACCUUUUGUAUACAUAACUUGUAGCUCAUUUCACUGUACCUGCCGCCAAAUAUUUCGGGUUAAAUGGAAAACACCCUUUAAUAUUA
Cinara cedri is the source of this 374-nucleotide non-coding RNA. NCBI's taxonomy places the organism in Eukaryota, Metazoa, Arthropoda, Insecta, Hemiptera, Aphididae. The record is from the annotation of a GenBank genome assembly.